GGAAGGAGGAGGCAGCCAGAGAGGCCUCCACUGUUCUCUGCAGCAGAAGACCCCCUGCUGCCAGAACUGAUGCUGAACAAACUUUCUGAGCUGGAAAUAAGACAGAAGACAACAGACGUUGCAUUCCUGCAAUGCUGCAAAAUAUUUUCAAUAGACAAUACUUGAAGUCAAAGUCAAAGAACAAUUUGUUUUAUCAGAUCUUACAUGCUUUUUAAUUUGCAACCAUUUAUGGAUAAUGACUGUUCUUACUGCUUUCAAAGAGUUAUUUUAGACCAUCUUAUCUAAAUUUUAACUAUGUGCUAACUCGACCAGACCUGUCAGCUUUAAACUGCAAUCCUAAACACUACUGAUUGGAAAUACAUUCAACUGAAAUCAGUGGCGAUUAUCUGCAAGUAAAUGUUUUAUGUUUGGAAUAUUUAUUUCAAACACCCUGAAUAAUCACCAACUCUCGUAAGAGGGCAAAAUUAUGAACAAAGCCCUAAAUAAAAAAAGAUAUGUUUAUGUUUAAAGAAAUAAAACCAGCCAUUGCUAUGUCCAAAAAUAUCUUGUUUAUGAGUGCCCAGAGAGGAGGCUCAUGGGGUUGUUCAUAUGCAGCAAAUAUUCAUACUGUGAUUUAAUAUGAUAGAUAUUCUUGAUACCAGCAGAAACACUUAAGGCUAUUGUCGAAAGGGCAGAACAAAAUGUACCAGGUGUUCAAAAGUACUUAUAGUCAUGAAAAAAUAGACCAGUAAAAUACAAAGCAACAGGGAAGACUCACACAAAUAUUUCAGUAUAUUACAGCAUGGCUAUUGACUCUUGCUUACUAUCCAGGUUUCAUGACUAGCUUUUAUAGCUGUCAUGCUGCUUGCCUCAGCCAGCCUUUAUAAAAAUCAAUUCUUAAUGUGUCUGCUGACACCAUGUGUUUACACAAACAAGACAUCACUCAGCUCAUCCGGGCUCUAUGCUUUCAUAUAGCCUGCUAUGGGUCCUGCAAUGCUUUAGAAUUUUGCCACUAGGCUUUGUAGUUUGGCAGAUAGUUUGAAGAACAUAACAAUUUUCCUGUACUGAUAAAAACAAAAGAAAUCAUCCCCCCCAUCUUGUUUUUGGAAGUACAGUAUCUCUUAUUAACUUCUAAAUUAAGCAGACAUUAAGUACAGAAGGAAAGUGUGGGGGAGAGAACCAAGAGAACCUUCAUAAGCAAGAAGCAAAAUACUAAUUCUAACAGAAAGCAUCCAUUGGAGAAGUCAAUUCAUUCUUACCUGCCAGCUGUAAGAAAGGAGCUAGAUGUUUGCCCUUUACAAAGACACUGGGUUCUUGGAAGACUCCAGAAAUUUCACUUGCAUGACCAAGAAUGAGGGUAUCCAGUUCAGAAGAACACACAGACAGAAGCCUUUCCUCCCCUAGAUCUACCAGUGACUGAAGUAAUGCAGGAAAUAGGGAAGAAAGCAGAAGAGGAACGUAGUUCCUGUUCAGAGAAAUACCAGUCAGAAGAAACAGGAGGUAGGAACUCUCUCUUGUGUUUCACCCAGGUUUUUGUCUGCAAGUUUUGUUGUUGUUGCGUUGCCACCACCCACAACUGUUGCUCUGUGGUGUUAGGCUUUAGCAGUGAAGUUCUGAGAUUGCAUUUCCCCUCUUCUGGUCUCCUCGCACACCGUUAAGAGCAAUGACUUGGUUGAGCUCAGCUUGCUUGUGCUAUAUUUAACCAGUGUUCUCAGCAAGUCAAGCCUGUCAACAGCUGAGAAGUUUGGAGCAGGCUUUGCUGUGUUCUUCAGCUGCUGAAUUAUCAUUGGAUAUAGAACUGCACUGUAUGUCUAUCCCAGUACUGUAUAUGCAAAGAAAGAUUGCAAAAGAAUCUCACGUAUGUUUAAGGUUUUUCUGUGAGUGUAAACCAUCAGACACAAGCUGCUUGUAUAUAUUCUAAAAAGAAAGGGGGGUGGGUGGGGUGCCAUAGUGGUUUCAGUAGAUCAAUAUCUCCCACCACCACCAUUUACAGUAAGGAUUUAAAAGAUAUAUACAGGAAACAUCAUUUGAAAGGCCUGUGAUAUUCAUUAGAAAGAUAUGACACACAAGCAGCAUGUUAGGACGGUUUUGCCUACUUUGAAGUAAAUUAAAUAGUUUUGUGUGUGGAAUGCUAACAGGGCUUACACGAGGCGCUUUGGUGUUUUAGUAUCCUGUUUACAUAAUCAGCUAUCCUGGGAUAGAAAUCCAUGAAUCUACUUCAAUAUCUGAUUUGUUUAUACAUUCAGAGGGUGAAACAUAGGUCAGAGUGAGUUUAAGGAGAGAGAGAAAGAGAGAGUAGAUGCACGCAACCCUUGCAGGAGUUCUUGACUUUUUUUCAUUCUAGGGUAAGUGAUCAUGUAAACCAGGGUAGCCAAUGUGUGGCUCUCCAGAUGUUGCUCACCAGAGACAACAAAUAUGACUGCUUACAUCCGGGCUAGGCAACGUGCAGUUCUUCAGAUGUUACUGAACUACAUCUCCCAUCACCCCCAGCCACAAGUUAUUACACCACAGGGGUGAUUGGAGUUGUAGUUCCCCAUCAUCCCUGGGUGUAAUAACUUAUGGCUGGGGUUCAGCAACAUCUGGAAAAUGGCACGUUGCCUACCCUGGAUGUAAACAAUCAUAUUUGUUGUCUCUGGUGAGUUGCGUUCCCAAUUAUAUGGAAAGCACCAGUCCGCCCUGAGCCAUUUUUGGAAGGGCAGUAUAGAAAUUGAAUGAAUGAAUGAUGACCCAAAGUAAUCAGUGCAGGGGUAUGGCUGUACAACAUUGGAAUUAUUUAUUCAUGUGGCUAAGAGGACCUUUCUUUAGGAUGACCUUGAGAUAACACCCUCUGAAUUUGGACUGAGUAAACAAGCCCUAGCUGAAAUACUCAAAACAGUGUUGAGCAUGAAUGUUCAUCUGAGCGCAUUUGAGAACCCCCAUUUGUCCAGAAUCUUGUGGUUUCAGACUUAAAGUCUGUGGAAUAUCCAUACUCAGCCACCAAAACCUUAACUCAACUAUUUAUCUCCCAAAGUAGGGAUUUCACUUGGAGGGGUCCAAGGAGAGCAUAUUCUGUGCAUAAAAUCUGCUCCCUCAUUCUCAAUGGGUAGCUAUGAUAGAUGUCUUAGAACAGUUGGUCAUGGAACCAACCAGAGAGAAGGCAACAAUCCUGAAUGGUGCUCAGGAACUAGUGCAAGAGGUCAGUGUUGUGUAACCAUUAGGGACAGGGACCAUAGUGUGAUCAAAUUCAGCAUAUAUACUAGUGGAGAAUUGCCAGGUAAGUCCAACAUGGACACUUUGGACUUCAGAAGAGGAAACUUCUCAAAAAUGAGGGGUUUGGUAAAAAGAAAGCUAAAAAGGAAAAUCAGGAGGGUCAAAUCACUCCAGCAAGGAUGGAGUUUAUUUAAAACCACAAUAAAAGAAGUUUGGUUCGGAGCUGUGUGAAAACUGACGAAAAAUUAGUUUCUAAAAUGUAUAAGCUCUUGCUUUUGGAGGAGACAAGAGAUGAAGUGGUUAAAAUGACUAUGGUAAAAUGGGCUCAAGAUGUGGGGUAUAAUAUAGAAAUGGCAGCCUGGGAAAAAUUAUGGAAAACUGAUUUAAAGUUCACUGCAUGUUAUGUUAUAAAAGAAAACUAUUAUAAAAUGAUGUAUAGGUGGUAUUUGACACCUAAAAAUUGACAUUAAUGUAUAAAAAUGUUUCAAACAAAUGUUGGAAAUGUGGACACUCAGAAGGAACUUUUUUUCAUAUGUGGUGGACUUGUAGGAAGGCUAAGGCCUUUUGGGACAUGAUAUAUAAUGAGUUAAAGAAAAAUUUUUAAAUGACAUUUCCUAAGAAGCCAGAAUCCUUCCUGCUGGGAAUAACGCAAGGAGUGUUUUCUACAACCAACUUAACAUUCUUUAUGUACGCUACCACGGCGGCCAGAAUAUUAUAUGCACAGAAAUGGAAGAGUAAUGAACUGCCUUCAAAAGAAGAUUGGCUGAUAAAAAUUUUGGAAUAUGCGGAGAUGGCAAAACUUACAGUACUGAUAAGAGACCAAAAUUUGGAAUGCUUUAAAGAAGACUGGAAACUAUUCUUAUUAUACUUAAAGAAUUACUUUCCUAAUAUUGAUUUUACAACAGGGUUUGAAAUUUAAUAAUAUUAGCAGGUUGGGUAGAUUAAAAUCGGGUUUGUAAGGUUUGGAUCUAUGUUUUGAAAUAUUACUAUAGCAAGGGUUAAUUCUAUAAUUCGUGAUUCACGAGGAGGUGUGAGCAGGAAGUCCAUAUUUGUUUAAUGUGUUGUGAUUGUUUAGAUAUUGUUAAAAUCAAUAAAAAUGUAAAUUUUUUUUAAAAAGAAGAA
Hemicordylus capensis (graceful crag lizard) is the source of this 4290-nucleotide long non-coding RNA. RefSeq lists it as uncharacterized. The record is from RefSeq and is a predicted model, not a curated record. The transcript has 2 exons. Lineage: Eukaryota; Metazoa; Chordata; Lepidosauria; Squamata; Cordylidae.